AGAACGAACGCUGGCGGCAGGCUUAACACAUGCAAGUCGAGCGCCCCGCAAGGGGAGCGGCAGACGGGUGAGUAACGCGUGGGAACAUACCCUCCGGUUCGGAAUAGCUCAGGGAAACUUGGAUUAAUACCGGAUACGGCCUAGCGGCGAAAGAUUCAUCGCCGGAGGAUUGGCCCGCGUUCGAUUAGCUAGUUGGUGAGGUAACGGCUCACCAAGGCGACGAUCGAUAGCUGGUCUGAGAGGUCGGCCGGCCACAUUGGGACUGAGACACUGCCCAGACUCCUACGGGGGGCUGCAGUAACGAAUCUUCCGCAAUGCACGCAAGUGUGACGGAGCGACGCCGCGUGUGGGACGAAGUCCUUCGGGAUGUAAACCACUGUCGAGGGUAAGAAAGUUCUGAUCUACCCAGAGGAAGGCACGGCUAACUCUGUGCCAGCAGCCGC
RNAcentral lists this ribosomal RNA (443 nucleotides) under uncultured bacterium. RNAcentral describes it as "partial small subunit ribosomal RNA". It matches the Rfam family "Bacterial small subunit ribosomal RNA", at positions 26 to 518 of the family's 1533-position model. The record is from RNAcentral.